AGUGAACGCUGGCGGUAGGCCUAACACAUGCAAGUCGAACGGCAGCACAGUAAGAGCUUGCUCUUACGGGUGGCGAGUGGCGGACGGGUGAGGAAUACAUCGGAAUCUACUUUUUCGUGGGGGAUAACGUAGGGAAACUUACGCUAAUACCGCAUACGACCUACGGGUGAAAGCAGGGGAUCUUCGGACCUUGCGCGAUUGAAUGAGCCGAUGUCGGAUUAGCUAGUUGGCGGGGUAAAGGCCCACCAAGGCGACGCUCCGUAGCUGGUCUGAGAGGAUGAUCAGCCACACUGGAACUAAGACACGGUCCAAAAUCCUACGGGAGGCAGCAGUGGGAAAUAUUGGACAAUGGGCGCAAGCCUGAUCCAGCCAUACCGCGGAGGUGAAGAAGGCCUUCGGGUUGUAAAGCCAUUUUGUUGGGAAAGAAAAGCAGCAGGUUAAUACCCCGCUGUUCUGACGGUACCCAAAGAAUAAGCACCGGCAAACUUCGU
This 491-nucleotide ribosomal RNA is filed under the name uncultured bacterium. Its description in RNAcentral is "partial 16S ribosomal RNA". It matches the Rfam family "Bacterial small subunit ribosomal RNA", at positions 29 to 506 of the family's 1533-position model. The record is from RNAcentral.